RNAcentral lists this long non-coding RNA (646 nucleotides) under Musa acuminata (dwarf banana). RNAcentral's name for it is "long non-coding RNA (MACU_LNC004950)". The record is from RNAcentral. Lineage: Eukaryota; Viridiplantae; Streptophyta; Magnoliopsida; Zingiberales; Musaceae.
CGGCCAAGAUCCGUUGCAGUAGCCGGCACGCCGGCGGCAGGGACCAUCGCGAUGGCGACACGACGCCAGUCACCCGCCUUCUGCCUCGUGAUUCGUGCUCUCCCUCCACCCAUCGAGCGCCUCAGGUAUCGCGAAGGCCGACCACGGCACCCAUGUGGCGCUCAUGGUGCAGUCGCCCUCCCCGGCACCACCAUCGCCACCACCGCCACUACAGUCUUGUCAUGGCUCCUCGGAACUUGUGAAGGCAAAAAGAAACGCCACCCUCGCACGCUGCUUCUUUCGAGAGGAAAAGUGGCGGUCAGUGGAGGUUUGGCGUCUGCUGAGCCUGGGGAAGCCUGCAGAUACCCUGGAUUUGAUCUCAGUACGUAGGGGAAUAGCACACGCGACGCAAGGAAUGAAAGCAACUUUUCGAUGUAUAUAUCUACAUGCUGAUGGAAGUACGUACGCGGGUGCAUGCUCUCAGCAACAUCAUCGUCGAUACAGGUGUGGGCUGCAAGACCAUGAUCUCCUCGGUUCGUCUCGCAGAUGCAUGGAAAGUCUUGUUGCUCCACCUGCGGACACCGAGAAGACUUCAAGCUGGGGUUCUUUUAGCUAAUCUACCCUGCUUCUGCAGGAAGGAGGAGAAACAGUACACGUGAUAUGCUCA